RNAcentral lists this long non-coding RNA (269 nucleotides) under Mytilus galloprovincialis (Mediterranean mussel). The record is from RNAcentral. Lineage: Eukaryota; Metazoa; Mollusca; Bivalvia; Mytilida; Mytilidae.
AAUGAUUCUUUUCAUAUACAUUGUAUGUAUAUAAAAAAUGUAUUCAGGUUUCUGAAAUGUCAGAGGUUUAUUUUUUACCAAAUGGUUAGUGUUUUCUUUCAGGGACUGACACAUGCAUGUAUGAAAUCAAAGAGUAUGAUAUAGAGUUACAAUUUUGAAUAAAAUUUUGAAAAACAAAACUAGUGAUUCAAUCAUCAAAAGUUUAUAAGAACUUUGAGUUUAAAAUUUAUUGCAAUUUCUUAUUCUUGGAUACCAUUUGAUAAACAAAC